AAAGUUAUAGUCAACCAUGACAUUUGGGUUGCAUUCAAAAAGUGCUCCAUGCGGAGCUAACUUU
RNAcentral lists this transfer RNA (64 nucleotides) under Caridina pseudogracilirostris. Its description in RNAcentral is "tRNA-Ala". Lineage: Eukaryota; Metazoa; Arthropoda; Malacostraca; Decapoda; Atyidae. The record is from RNAcentral.